GGACUACCAGGGUUUCUAAUCCUGUUCGCUCCCCACGCUUUCGCCCCUCAGCGUCAGUUACUGCCCAGAGACCCGCCUUCGCCACCGGUGUUCCUCCUGAUAUCUGCGCAUUCCACCGCUACACCAGGAAUUCCAGUCUCCCCUACAGUACUCUAGUCUGCCCGCAUCGCCCGCACGCCCACAGUUAAGCUGUGAGUUUUCACGGACAACGUGACAAACCACCUACGAGCUCUUUACGCCCAGUAAUUCCGGACAACGCUCGCACCCUACGUAUUACCGCGGCUGCUGGCAC
This 292-nucleotide ribosomal RNA is filed under the name uncultured bacterium. RNAcentral describes it as "partial 16S ribosomal RNA". The record is from RNAcentral.